This 966-nucleotide long non-coding RNA is filed under the name Gossypium raimondii (Peruvian cotton). RNAcentral's name for it is "long non-coding RNA (GRAI_LNC011177)". Lineage: Eukaryota; Viridiplantae; Streptophyta; Magnoliopsida; Malvales; Malvaceae. The record is from RNAcentral.
UGUUUAGCUGGAAAUUAAAGGCUGAUUUUCGUGAGAAAGAAGCAGCAAGUUGCAGCCUUCCGAGUGAAUUUAAUGAAUGAAGCGUUAUGUGAUCAUAAGGAAAUGGAUCGGUUGAAUCAAGGGAUAUGGAAACGAUGAAAGGCUGAUUGAUUUAGUUAUCUUCUUGAAUUGUUGAAAAAAGAAAAGAAAAGAGAAAUAAGAGAAUUGAUGACUUCCAGACGAUUAACUAGUCUAAGAAAAUUAGCUCCACCAUCCAAAUUAAUCCCUCCCGUCCUUAAAACAUUACCUUGGCCCCAUUACAACCUUAAUUUGGCCUCAAUUAUAUUUAUGAAAUUUUAUGUAUUAUGUUAAGGUAAGAUGGACAAGCAAGCCUAUGGGGUUAAUUACGGUUUAUUUCAAUUUGAGAGCGUUGUACUAGCCUAAACACAAUGAGUGAAGAGUGUUAAUAAUUUUAUUCUUUUCGGUGAGAAUUGAUCAAAGAAGCAUGAUUAUUUUCCUCUAUAUUUUCCUCUCUUGAAUAAACCAAAAUCUAAAUUGUUGAUUUCAAAAUUCAUCCUAAGCUUGGGCUAUGCAACAACUCUUGAUUAUUCUUGAUAUUUUUAAAAUUCUUCUUGAUUUUCGUCGACUUGAUUGCUCAGGGACGAUCAAUAGUUUAAGUAUAGGGGAGUUUGUUAAGUUCAAUUUUGAGUUUAACUUAUUCAAUUAAAUUAUUUAAAUUGUUGAUUACUUUUUUGGUUAAUUAAGUUAUAAUUCAGCCUAAAUUGAUUAGAGGCAUUCUAUGCCGUAAUAAUUUAAUUGCACUCCAAUUCAACAAUUUAAUUUUAAUUUUAUUUCAUGUGCAGGUUGAUGCCCGUAUAAGCUCAAUUUGGAAGGUAAUUCGCAUAAAUUAAGCUGCCGAAUGACGAUCAUAUGCUGGUUGAAGGAAUUAAAUUAACAUUGGGACAAAAUUCGGUCCAAUAGAAAAGC